This 91-nucleotide transfer RNA is filed under the name Caudoviricetes sp. RNAcentral's name for it is "tRNA-Leu". The record is from RNAcentral. Lineage: Duplodnaviria; Heunggongvirae; Uroviricota; Caudoviricetes.
GCGCCGGCACUCCGAUUGGCCUUGAGAGCGGGGACUCAAAAUCCUUUGGCGGUAACCAUUCCGCAUGUCGGUCCGAAUCCGACCCGGCGUA